This 208-nucleotide long non-coding RNA is filed under the name Salvia miltiorrhiza (redroot sage). Its description in RNAcentral is "long non-coding RNA (SMIL_LNC003901)". The record is from RNAcentral. Lineage: Eukaryota; Viridiplantae; Streptophyta; Magnoliopsida; Lamiales; Lamiaceae.
UUUGAUGAUUUGAAAUGUAUCCCUAUUUAUAAAGGGCUGAACUUACUGCGCUUUUUAAAAGUGAGGGAGAUUUGAAAAUUUCUGAAAUUUUUAAUGAGAUACAGCAGAUUCUGAAAUUUGUGUACUUUAUGGCGCCACUUUGAAAUUUGUGAUACUAGAAAUAUUUUGGCAAAUUGAAAUAGUGCAGAUUCUGAUGUUUUAGUUGGCG